Pipistrellus kuhlii (Kuhl's pipistrelle) is the source of this 1889-nucleotide long non-coding RNA. RefSeq lists it as uncharacterized. Lineage: Eukaryota; Metazoa; Chordata; Mammalia; Chiroptera; Vespertilionidae. The transcript is spliced from 2 exons. The record is from RefSeq and is a predicted model, not a curated record.
AUCAGUGUGCUCCCACAGAAGCUAGGCUCAUGGCUGGCGGGCGCAAUGGUGGUGGCAAGAGCCUCUCCACCUCCACCACAGUGCUAAGGAGCAGUGAGCCUAGCAGAAAGGAGUAGCGAGCAAGGGGGCAGUAAGGAGUGAGAGGUCCUGGACUGCCAGAGGGAUGUCUGACUGAGGGCUUAGGGGAGCAGGCCUAAGUCAUCGGUCGGACAUCCCCUGAGGGCUCCCAGUCUGGGAGAGGGCUCAGUCCAGGCUGAAAGACGCCCCCCCCCCCAAGUUCACAAAUUUCAUGCACUAGGCCUCUAGUACAGUUAUAAAAACACCUUUGUGAUAUGAAGUAAAAAGGUGUGUUUCCUUUCUUGGUGGCCUUUGUUGAACAUGGGGAUCAUUGAUCUUAGAGCUGGGAGGCUGUCAGACAUUAGUGCAGCCCUCUUUUAAUCAGAAGAGAAAUCUGCUAAUGUCAGCUUGCAACCUCAGUGUCAGAGCCAGGUUUUCUAACACUGCCCUAGUGCUCUCUCCAUUGUAACCUUUCUAAAUGUUCUUUUAGGAAUGUGAGAGGCACUUUGACUUGGCAAAUUACUAUAGUAGACAGUUGAACAGAUACCUCAGAUAGAUGAGGGAAAUUCCAAAUUCCAUUCAAGAUAUCCUUCAAAGGUUUUUCUUCCUUACUGAUGACCUCUUUAAUUAGAAAGAAACUGCUGACUCAACUUUUCUCUCAUCACCAUUGUGAAACCAGAUAGCUCUGGCAAUUCCUCCUUUCUCACCAUUAUUUUCCUCUCAUGGUUCAAAACUCUAGCAAUAUGUAAAUUAAAAAUAAGCAAUUCUUAAAAGCACAGUGCUCUAAAAACAAUUUUUAGCCCUAGCUGGUUUGGCUCAUGCAGGAAGCAGCCAAUCAAUGGUUCUCUCUCAUCAUUGAUGUUUCUAUCACUCUCCCUCUCUGAAAUAAAAAUAUUUUAAAAAGAAAGAAAAAAAUAAGUAAAAAUAAUUUUUAGUUGACAUACUUAAAAGUAGUGUAAUUCACAAAAUUCACCUGGUUGUAUUUGAAUGCCAAUAUAAUUCUCAUUAGGGUAAGAAGGUUUUACAGAAUAAUAUCAGAAGGAACAAUCCUCUUAAGGAGUUGUCAAUGAUAACUUUUAUCAAGCAUCUAGUUUCAGUAUAUAAGGUAGAAUUAAUAAACUGCUAAAGAAAUAAGCCAAUCUGGUUUUAUGCUUUUGGUUUUUUUUUAGAAGUGCUUGUAAACUUACAGCCACUGGUCAAAAUACUAAUAAUUACUUAAGUUCUAACUUUAGAAAUUGUAUUUCCCUCUGGCCCAAUACUAUAUAGUAAAGUGGCAAAAUUCCAAAAUAUAAGCAUGUACCAUGUGAAAAUUAUAAAUGACUGAAACAAAAUAAGAGCUCUAAACAAAUUGCAUUGCUUUUAUAAAUCUGGAACUGAAAUUUUUUUCUCUUCAAAUGAGAAUAUAGAAGUUGAGUGUUUUUAUUUGAGAUAUUAUCUUAUUCAGACAGUGUUAUAUACAUCCUCAUUUUUAGGUACUCUAGAACCUUUCCUAUGUGUUUGCCACCAGGGAAGGGAAAAAGAAGGAAAUACAAAGUAUAAUUUGUGUGUAUAUUUUUUCUGAAAAUACAUGUUUUUGCAUACUGCUUUUCCUUUAAAAUUUAAAUUACAAAUGUAUUAUAUGGCAUUUGACUUGUAAAAACAUCAGAGACAGUUCUAUAUUUUUACAUUGACCUUCAAUCUCAAUACCCCCUCUAGAAGUAACAAUUUUUGACUUUCCAUCUAUACCUUUUUUUAUACCUUUUUCUAUGAAUGCAUAUAGAUGUUAUGUAUAGCCACAUGAAAUAAAAUGUGUGUAAUUCUUGUUUUUUACAUAUAUGUGUAUCAUUUAGCAA